GACGAACGCUGGCGGCGUGCUUAACACAUGCAAGUCGAACGGAAAGGCCCUGCUUUUGUGGGUUGCUCGAGUGGCGAACGGGUGAGUAACACGUGAGUAACCUGCCCUUGACUUUGGGAUAACUUCAGGAAACUGGGGCUCAUACCGGAUAGGAGCUCCUGCUGCAUGGUGGGGGUUGGAAAGUUUCGGCGGUUGGGGAUGGACUCGCGGCUUAUCAGCUUGUUGGUGGGGUAGUGGCUUACCAAGGCUUUGACGGGUAGCCGGCCUGAGAGGGUGACCGGCCACAUUGGGACUGAGAUACGGCCCAGACUCCUACGGGAGGCAGCAGUGGGGAAUAUUGCACAAUGGGCGGAAGCCUGAUGCAGCAACGCCGCGUGCGGGAUGACGGCCUUCGGGUUGUAAACCGCUUUCGCCUGUGACGAAGCGUGAGUGACGGUAAUGGGUAAAGAAGCACCGGCUAACUACGUG
This 468-nucleotide ribosomal RNA is filed under the name uncultured bacterium. RNAcentral's name for it is "partial 16S ribosomal RNA". It matches the Rfam family "Bacterial small subunit ribosomal RNA", at positions 28 to 507 of the family's 1533-position model. The record is from RNAcentral.